UUAUGGCUCAGGACGAACGCUGGCGGCAUGCUUCAUACAUGCAAGUCGAACGAUAAGGUCUCUUCGGAGAUACAUAAGUGGCGGACGGGUGAGUAAUAUGUAGGAAAUCUGCCCUUGAGAGGGGGACAACAGAGGGAAACUUCUGCUAAUACCCCAUAUGAGCGUACCUGAAAUGGUAUUCUUGAAAACUCCGGUGCUCAAGGAUGAGCCUGCAUCUGAUUAGCUUGUUGGCGGUGUAAUGGACCACCAAGGCGACGAUCAGUAGCUGGUUUGAGAGGAUGAUCAGCCACAAUGGGACUGAGACACGGCCCAUACUCCUACGGGGGGCAGCAGUAGGGAAUUUUGCGCAAUGGGCGAAAGCCUGAACCGCAGCAAUGCCGCGUGAACGUAGAAGCCCUUCGGGGUGUAAAGUUCUGUCAGUGGGGACGAAUUCUGACGGUACCCACAGAGGAAGCACCGGCUAACUCCGUGCCAGCCGCCGC
RNAcentral lists this ribosomal RNA (482 nucleotides) under uncultured bacterium. RNAcentral describes it as "bacterial SSU rRNA". It matches the Rfam family "Bacterial small subunit ribosomal RNA", at positions 17 to 518 of the family's 1533-position model. The record is from RNAcentral.